GUGCCUCCUUUGGCAGCACAUAUACUAAAACUAGAACGAUAUAGAGAAGACUAGCAUGGCCCCUGUGCAAGGAUGAAACACAAAUUUGUGAAACAUUUCAUAUUUUU
Mustela lutreola (European mink) is the source of this 107-nucleotide small nuclear RNA. The record is from RefSeq and is a predicted model, not a curated record. Lineage: Eukaryota; Metazoa; Chordata; Mammalia; Carnivora; Mustelidae.